ACCGUGCAAGGGUCAUAGAUACACAUGCAUAUCAUGGGCAAUGUGCAAAUAAUCACGCCUGCAAGUCUCUAGCCAUACAUGCUUAUGCUCUUGCUACAGCAGCGAGGGAUCAUUUUGUUAUAAGGCAACUCACACUGUCUUGGUCUCUCUUGACAAGAGUUCUUGAUGAUCUGGUGAUCUGAGUUUACAGGCAAAACAGUCAGGCCAAGUAUUUCUGUGUUAAUCUUACAGCUGUGGAACAGAGGUAACUUGUCCCUGAACACAUGAAGAGCUGAAGUCAAAGAUGGGAAUGGGACUCAGAUGUCCAGCAUGAGCAGCUUGUGAUGACUGUCUGGGAAGGCACCUUGUGGAAAAAAGUUCUGAAACCCAGGAGGAAGGGAAGAGGCUUGAAAACCUUGCGUCUGAGCAGGGACAAGGAUGUGUCUGUUGGCAAAGGGUAUACAGCAGCCCAGUGCACUGUUAGUGAUGGAACUCUGCAGUACAAUGAUUUGAUGAGGCCAUGAUCUUGGAAAGAUACAAAAAGAGAUGGGCUGUUUCAGGCGAAUCAUGAAGAAAUCCUGAAAUAUAAAGGUACAGUCAAGUCUGG
RNAcentral lists this long non-coding RNA (586 nucleotides) under Manacus vitellinus (golden-collared manakin). RNAcentral's name for it is "lncRNA (ENSMVIG00005016842.1)". The record is from RNAcentral. Lineage: Eukaryota; Metazoa; Chordata; Aves; Passeriformes; Pipridae.